CGAUAACGAACGAGACCUUAACCUGCUAAAUAGUUAGGCCAACGUUUGUUGGUCGUCAACUUCUUAGAGGGACUAUUGACUAUUAGUCAAUGGAAGUUUGAGGCAAUAACAGGUCUGUGAUGCCCUUAGAUGUUCUGGGCCGCACGCGCGCUACACUGAUCAAGUCAACGAGUUUACAACCUUGGCCGGAAGGUCUGGGUAAUCUUUUGAAACUUGACCGUGCUGGGGAUAGUCCAUUGCAAUUAUUGGACUUCAACGAGGAAUUCCUAGUAAGCGUGAGUCAUCAGCUCGCGUUGAUUACGUCCCUGCCCUUUGUACACACCGCCCGUCGCUACUACCGAUUGAAUGGCU
RNAcentral lists this ribosomal RNA (351 nucleotides) under uncultured Mortierella. RNAcentral's name for it is "SSU rRNA". It matches the Rfam family "Eukaryotic small subunit ribosomal RNA", at positions 1326 to 1698 of the family's 1831-position model. The record is from RNAcentral. Lineage: Eukaryota; Fungi; Mortierellomycota; Mortierellomycetes; Mortierellales; Mortierellaceae.